GAUGAACGCUGGCGGCGUGCCUAAUACAUGCCAGUCGAGCGAACAGACGAGGAGCUUGCUCCUCUGACGUUAGCGGCGGACGGGUGAGUAACACGUGGAUAACCUACCUAUAAGACUGGGAUAACUUCGGGAAACCGGAGCUAAUACCGGAUAAUAUAUUGAACCGCAUGGUUCAAUAGUGAAAGACGGUUUUGCUGUCACUUAUAGAUGGAUCCGCGCCGCAUUAGCUAGUUGGUAAGGUAACGGCUUACCAAGGCAACGAUGCGUAGCCGACGUGAGAGGGUGAUCGGCCACACUGGAACUGAGACACGGUCCAGACUCCUACGGGAGGCAGCAGUAGGGAAUCUUCCGCAAUGGGCGAAAGCCUGACGGAGCAACGCCGCGUGAGUGAUGAAGGUCUUCGGAUCGUAAAACUCUGUUAUUAGGGAAGAACAAAUGUGUAAGUAACUAUGCACGUCUUGACGGUACCUAAUCAGAAAGCCACGGCUAACUACGUG
RNAcentral lists this ribosomal RNA (497 nucleotides) under uncultured bacterium. RNAcentral's name for it is "partial 16S ribosomal RNA". It matches the Rfam family "Bacterial small subunit ribosomal RNA", at positions 28 to 507 of the family's 1533-position model. The record is from RNAcentral.